This 280-nucleotide long non-coding RNA is filed under the name Carica papaya (papaya). Its description in RNAcentral is "long non-coding RNA (CPAP_LNC007931)". Lineage: Eukaryota; Viridiplantae; Streptophyta; Magnoliopsida; Brassicales; Caricaceae. The record is from RNAcentral.
UACCUCGACAUACGAGCUGGGUCUCAGCAUCGUUACCCGAUCACAGAUAUUGGCACGAAGGCCUUUUAAAAAUUUCCUACCUUUACAACUUUUGGUGGUGACCAUUAGAGGGGCAAACUUAGAUAGUUGGACAAAUCGGACUGCAUACUAGGUAACUGUUAGAUUUCCUUAGUGGAGGUCCUGAAAUUCCUCUUCCUUCUUUUCUUAGACAUAGGCUGGGAAAAAAGUUAUCAAAAAACAUGUCCAUGAAAACUUCCCAAGUGGUAGGGGUAGGUAGGAC